UGCAGUCGAGGGGCAGCAUAAUGGAUAGCAAUAUCUAUGGUGGCGACCGGCGCACGGGUGCGUAACGCGUAUGCAACCUACCUUUAACAGGGGGAUAACACUGAGAAAUUGGUACUAAUACCCCAUAAUAUCAUAGAAGGCAUCUUUUAUGGUUGAAAAUUCCGAUGGUUAGAGAUGGGCAUGCGUUGUAUUAGCUAGUUGGUGGGGUAACGGCUCACCAAGGCGACGAUACAUAGGGGGACUGAGAGGUUAACCCCCCACACUGGUACUGAGACACGGACCAGACUCCUACGGGAGGCAGCAGUGAGGAAUAUUGGUCAAUGGACGCAAGUCUGAACCAGCCAUGCCGCGUGCAGGAUGACGGCUCUAUGAGUUGUAAACUGCUUUUGUACGAGGGUAAACGCAGAUACGUGUAUCUGUCUGAAAGUAUCGUACGAAUAGGGAUCGGCUAACUCCGUGCCAGCAGCCGCGGUAAUACGGAGGAUUCAAGCGUUAUCCGGAUUUAUUGGGUUUAAAGGGUGCGUAGGCGGUUUGAUAAGUUAGAGGUGAAAUUUCGGGGCUCAACCCUGAACGUGCCUCUAAUACUGUUGAGCUAGAGAGUAGUUGCGGUAGGCGGAAUGUAUGGUGUAGCGGUGAAAUGCUUAGAGAUCAUACAGAACACCGAUUGCGAAGGCAGCUUACCAAACUAUAUCUGACGUUGAGGCACGAAAGCGUGGGGAGCAAACAGGAUUAGAUACCCUGGUAGUCCACGCAGUAAACGAUGAUAACUCGUUGUCGGCGAUACACAGUCGGUGACUAAGCGAAAGCGAUAAGU
Molecule: ribosomal RNA, 814 nt
Filed under: uncultured bacterium
Lineage: Bacteria
Description: bacterial SSU rRNA
Rfam family: Bacterial small subunit ribosomal RNA
Source: RNAcentral